Molecule: ribosomal RNA, 400 nt
Filed under: uncultured bacterium
Lineage: Bacteria
Description: bacterial SSU rRNA
Rfam family: Bacterial small subunit ribosomal RNA
Source: RNAcentral
UGGGGAAUAUUGGACAAUGGACCAAAAGUCUGAUCCAGCAAUUCUGUGUGUUUGAUGAAGGCCUUCGGGUUGUAAAGAACUUUAAGUAGGGAAGAAGAAAGUGACGGUACCUACAGAAUAAGCGACGGCUAAAUACGUGCCAGCAGCCGCGGUAAUACGUAUGUCGCAAGCGUUAUCCGGAAUUAUUGGGCAUAAAGCGCGUCUAGGCGGUUUACUAAGUCUGAUGUGAAAAUGCGGAGCUCAACUCCGUAUUGCGUUGGAAACUGGUAGACUAGAGUAUUGGAGAGGUAGGCGGAACUACAAGUGUAGAGGUGAAAUUCGUAGAUAUUUGUAGGAAUGCCAAUGACGAAGGUAGCUUACUGGACAAAUACUGACGCUGAAGCGCGAAAGCUAGGGGAGC